GGAAAACCGUGAGUGUACGUUGAGAGAGAGAGAGCAGAAGGGUGAACGGAGAUGUGCUCUGGAAGUUGAACCAGGUUUUAAGAAGACGAGUUUGUAUUGACUGGAUUUACUCAGUACAUCUUAUGUUUUGCCUUGUUAGCUGUGUGUAGUUAGCGAUUGCAGAGGCACAGAUGUUGUUUUUUUACUGAGUGAGAAAAAACGGAGAUUCUCUGUGAGCGGGUUCAAGCUAACCGCAAAAGCUAACGGCUAAGCUAACGGCUAAGCUACGGCCGGCGAGCCUCGUCGGGGCUGAGUGGACUUUGAACUGGACAGACGGAAGUGCUUCUGGAUGAGGAGUCACCUGUCGCUCCUCUGACCGUUUCUUUUUCUGAGACAUUGGAUUAUUCGUCCACUGGCUGCUGACUUUUCAGGCACCGAGCUGUGAACGCCACGACGUGGAUUCUGCUAACGGCUAACUGUGAGUUUGCUGACCGGAGAUCAACGCCGCGGCGGGGAUUUCGUGGACUGCUUCCUGUGAUCAUCAUGGGUUUUCUACUCUGCACCUGCACUACGGCGAACAGCUGGAGAUCGACACACAGGCCUGCAACGUCUUGAGGUUUCUCCCACUUGUGAUUCUUGAAUUCAGUUCUUUGCCCCUUAACCGAAGCCAGUGAGAUGUCAUUCUCAUUUCCACGGCCCGGACCGGUGCCACUAAUGGUGGAUGGCAUGGAUCAACAUGAGUGUAAGUGAUUUACCAGCAACUGGGAACAGAGAACAAGUGCUUGCACACACUGGAUCAAAUGUCGCUUCUAAGUGCAGUUUUCAGCAGUCAAAAAAAUAUCAAGACGCCACAACAUGAAGGAGUGCAGAUGUGGAGCGAAGGCAUCUACAGUGGAUAUGUUUUUUGCGUCGCUGGAUCGACUAUCAAAACGGUUUCCCUAUAAGAAAAAGUGUGGCUCCCAUAAUGACUUUCUUAAGGUUUCAAAUCAAAAUUUUAAAGACUUGACUGCACCUUUUUUUGUCAGCUGUCCAAUGUAUCAGCAAUUUUCCGCACGCUGGUCCCAGUUCCUUAUAAUGUUCUUGCACAAGCUCAAACAGGCUUUGCAAAAUAAACAACCCUGCGCCAAGCAAAUCUGAUAUCUCCCAGCUUUGAAAUGUCAGCAAAUAAGUUCAUAAAUAAGUUAGAAGUUGUUUUGUCAGGUCAGUGUUGAAUGAGUAACAUGAAUAUUGUGAAAAUGACUGGUCACUGAGGAGUGCUGACUUAAGUGUCAAAGCUGGUAAUUGUCUGCAUUUUGGAAAAUUUACUCUAGCAGGUCGUGGAAAUACACAAAGUUGUUAUUAACUAAAUUACUCACUUUUUUGGGGGUAGACAUUUGUUUGUAUCACUGGCAUUUGCACAGUCGGCUCUUACAAACUAAAGUGUCCUGUCCAGUGAUGACAUUCCGUAUACUGGAAUGCAUUUUUCAUUCAUUUGGUUGAGAAAAAACACAUGUUCAACUUCUCAUGGAUAACUUUUGCAAACUAUCUCUGUCUUCCCUGUUUUUCUGACAAUUGCCACUACAUGCUACACAAUCAAUGUCUAGAACAGAAACAGCCUAAUAAAUUCCUG
Long non-coding RNA from Amphiprion ocellaris (clown anemonefish), 1588 nucleotides. The record is from Ensembl. Lineage: Eukaryota; Metazoa; Chordata; Actinopteri; Pomacentridae.